Molecule: ribosomal RNA, 468 nt
Filed under: uncultured bacterium
Lineage: Bacteria
Description: partial 16S ribosomal RNA
Rfam family: Bacterial small subunit ribosomal RNA
Source: RNAcentral
GACGAACGCUGGCGGCGUGCUUAACACAUGCAAGUCGAACGGAAAGGCCCUGCUUUUGUGGGGUGCUCGAGUGGCGAACGGGUGAGUAACACGUGAGUAACCUGCCCUUGACUUUGGGAUAACUUCAGGAAACUGGGGCUAAUACCGGAUAGGAGCUCCUGCUGCAUGGUGGGGGCUGGAAAGUUUCGGUGGUUGGGGUUGGAGGCGGGGCUUCUCAGCUUGUGGGUGGGGUGGUGGUUUACCAAGGCUUUGACGGGUAGCCGGCCUGGGAGGGUGACCGGGCACAUUGGGCCUGGGGUAGGGGCCGGAGUGCUGCGGGGGGCAGCGGUGGGGAAUAGUGCGCGAUGGGCGGAGGCCUGGUGGAGGGGCGCCGCGUGCGGGAUGACGGCCUUCGGGUUGGAAAGCGCUUGCGCGUGUGACGAAGCGUGAGUGACGGUAAUGGGUAAGGAAGCGCCGGCUAACUACGUG